UGUCAAGGGAUGGGAAUCGAACCCACGACCUUCUGCUUUCCGGGCAGAUGCCAUGACCACUAGGCUACCCUGGAC
This 75-nucleotide transfer RNA is filed under the name Cordylochernes scorpioides. RNAcentral's name for it is "tRNA-Ser". The record is from RNAcentral. Lineage: Eukaryota; Metazoa; Arthropoda; Arachnida; Pseudoscorpiones; Chernetidae.